GAUCCAGCCAUGCCGCGUGCAGGAUGAAGGCCUUCGGGUUGUAAACUGCUUUUGUACGGAACGAAACGGCCUUUUCUAAUAAAGAGGGCUAAUGACGGUACCGUAAGAAUAAGCACCGGCUAACUACGUGCCAG
This 134-nucleotide ribosomal RNA is filed under the name uncultured bacterium. RNAcentral describes it as "partial 16S ribosomal RNA". It matches the Rfam family "Bacterial small subunit ribosomal RNA", at positions 385 to 511 of the family's 1533-position model. The record is from RNAcentral.